This 10692-nucleotide long non-coding RNA is filed under the name Lactuca sativa (garden lettuce). RNAcentral describes it as "long non-coding RNA (LSAT_LNC004852)". Lineage: Eukaryota; Viridiplantae; Streptophyta; Magnoliopsida; Asterales; Asteraceae. The record is from RNAcentral.
GAGAAUACAGAAAUUAAGGGAAUAAAGAAGUAGAAAAUACAGUUUGUUUGAGGUCGAAGGCUGCUCGUUUGAGUUGAUCGGAAAACAGGUUGUAGGGAAGAGAUAGAGUCUUUGUUAGGGGAUUUGCAGUGGUUUCAGGUGGCGGUGGUUCUUCUUCUUUGAUGAAUUCCGGCAUUUCAUUUGGAUAGAAACGAUCCGCCAUUUUGGGUUGACUUUGCUCUGAUUCUUGGAGGCUAAAGUAGAAGCCACAAAGGUUUAUUUAGGGAAAAUGCUUUCGAGCUAAAUUCCUUAUAGAUUUAUGUGUUUUGGAAAAAGGGAAUCGAAUAAUCCAACUGAUACAAUGAUUGUCUUUUAAAAAAAAUAAUCAGUUUUUGUUUUUUUUAAUAAAAUGAUUUUUUUUAAAACUAUGAAUAAGAUGCAUAUAUUUCUCUGGCUUCUUCUUGUGGGCCAUACAAUUAUAAAGACCAAUAAAGUGGUGUUUUCGUUCUAAUCAACCUUUAAAAAAGGAAAAUUUUCAUAUAUAUCCUUGCAAACACUGAUAAUUACGUAUAUAUCCUUUCAAAGUUUAUAAUUACUUAUAUAUCCUUCUAGGGAUGAGCAAAAGGACCGAACCGGCCAGAACCGGCCCGAACCGGACCGGACCGGGGAACCGGCUUCGGCCAAAAUCAAGACCCGACCCGGCCCGACGGUUCUACCGGUUUCGGUUCUACCGGUUCCCGGUUCCUACCGAUUCUUGUCGUGUCUUCAAAUGUUGGAACCGUUCCUUGAAAAAUAGCAUCAUACGGUUCCGGUUUUUGCCGGUUCUACCGGUUCCGGUUCCUACCGGUUCCCGGUUCCAAAAAUCCACAAAAAUAACGUCCCGGUCCCGGCCCGACCGGUUCCAUCGGGUUCCGGUACCGGUUCCGGCCGGUUCCCCGGUCCAUAUGCUCAUCCCUAUAUCCUUCUUAGACUACUAAACUCUCAUUUAUAUCCAAUCUUAUAAUUUAAUAAGAUAUAAAUCGAUUUAAUAUCAAAAAAUGUAUUUAAAAAUCAAAAAUACAUGUAAGUUUACCAAAAUACCCUUGCAAAUCUCAAUUGAUCCUCAGCCGUAAGCCAUUCAUUGAGAACCACCGACAAAACCAAGUUCAAUCUCCAUCUCGCUUUUUCUGGUCUUCCUCCUCCUUCUUCCCUCUUAGCGCUCUACCGACUACCACCAUAGGUAAGCCACAACAUUGCCCUUCAUGCUCUGCAACUUCAAAAAAAAAGUGUGCCGACCACUCCCCACCAUUCUGUCCUAGCUACUUCACCAUCCCCCUGUUCAAAAGCAGCACAUUCGAUCGUAGAAUGCUCGGAGUAGCAGCCCUUGAGUCUCGACAAACCACUCCAGCUAACACUGGUAACCAAGGGAACACAAUUUUUGCUUCAGCCCUCGAGUUCAUACCCUAAUUUGAUUCAAUUUUGGGUUUUUGAAAUUGUAAGUUGUAAACGAAAAGUACAUGUUUGUUGUGCACUGUACCUGUAGAGGUUUUCCCUCAUAGUCAAAAUCCUUCUGGCUAAAUUUCAUUUUCUUUUAUUUUAUCUUUUUACUAUUAUUUUAUUUUGAAGUUUAUUGUAUAAUUUUUGGCUGUAUAAGUAUGUACAAGAUGGAAAUCCAAUUAUAAAAAUACAAGAAAAGCAUUAUUAAAGUUUCAGCUGAUCAACCAAAGAUCAGACUUCUCUUUCGCCCUAUUCUAGCAUAAUAUCACAGGUUUUAACUCAUCAAUUACUAUUCAAAUGUAAUAAACAGUCGAAUAGUUGGCUUUGGUGUUGUGUAGUUUUAACUUUCAACUUGUUGAAGUGUGCUUGUAUCUUGUUUCAUGGUAUUCAGCUUCUAUUUUAGUACAUACUAUGGAUUUAUGAUGGUGCAUAUUUUGUACAUCUUAGUGUCCUUAUCUUCACAUGAUUGACCAAGUUUUUCCUGCAAAUUUGUUUUACGCACCAACUGUUCGACUGUUCUUCAGUCAAGUCAAGAUUUUCUUUUUCAGGAGAAGAAAAAACGAGAUUACAAUUAAUAAAUUCCAAAAUCUAAUCAAAGAUACAACCAAAAUUGCUUAAAUCAGUAAUAGAUAUAAACCUGUGAUGAGAAAAACGAACUUGAAUAGUGAAGAAGACAUGAGCAGGAAGACCUGAUGAAGCAAAUGCGAUGAAUAAGACCCAAACUUCAGUUGACGUAUGAUUAGGAUGUAUCACGAUGUCGAGUAUGUUAAAGGAGAAUCACGUGAUAUGGAGAUUCACGUUGCCAAGAUUAAUCACCAUUAAUCAUGAUUUUAAUUUAAUCUUUUAUUUGCAAAAGGGUAUUUUGGUACUUUAUAUGUAUUUUUAAUUUUUUAAUAUAUUUUUUGAUAUGAAAUUGAUUUAUAUCUUAUUAAAUUAUAUGAUUGGAUAUAAAUGAGAGUUUAGUAGGUUAAGAAGGAUAUAUAAGUAAUUAUAAACUUUGAAAGGAUAUAUAUACGUAAUUAUCAGUAUUUGCAAGGAUAUAUAUGAAAUUUUCCCUUUAAAAAACACAAUUUUAGUGUUUGGGAUAACUUCACACACCAAAUAUAAAGGUCAAACUACUUGGCCUCUAAAAUUCACAACUUUAGUGAUUGGUUGGAAUGCAAACACCAUUUUAGUGUUAACAAAUCACCAAUUUAAUGAUUUAUGGUUAGAGUUGCUUUAAGAAACAGUUCUUUGCUCCUAUUGGACCAAAACCUUUCUUUUUUUUAAAUUGAUGCUGGCUCUUAUCUCCUUAACAUACCACCACCUACUGACCACAAGUGUUGUUCAUGGGUUAGUUCUUAAACCAAGGUCACCGCCUUUUAAAGAUACGUGUUUUCUCCUCCCAAUUUUGGUGGUUUCGAGAAACUCCACCGCUUCUCUAUCUUUCUUCCGAUCGACAAAUCCUAAACGUACCCCAUCGCCAUUACAUCUUCUGCCUAUAUGUUUUUCCGGCUUUCAUGAAAAGGUUUACGCAUCGCAUAUUUCCUCCACCAUCGUCUUCACCGAGAAGCCAGCCUCACCACCACCAUCGACGUCCUUUUCAUCCCUAGCCCAGAUAAAAUCGAAAGGAAAAUCAAAGAAGAAACCACACAUCCUCAGCAACACCAUCCAACCACCCUCUAAGUAUUCCGACCACCGGAUGUAAGUAAGAAAAUCAUGAAUUACGGCCUUUUAUCCUUGCGGUUACGUAAUUUGUGGUGAAAACAAAGCUUUUACCUCAGAUGACGAAUUCCUUCACUCAUUGUGUUCAUUAACAAAUAUUGCACUCUAACUGUUUGUUGAUUUGCCACAACCUAUCGAGGAUAAAUCAGAAGAGGGUUCAGUCCACAGAGGUAAUUCAAAUAAAAUAAAGAUAACACAUUAAGUGAUUCCAAUUUUGGUUUUGAUUUUCAAAAGUUUAAAUAGAUUAAUUAAUCGAUUACUUCUUCAGAUGUUGUUAUUGCUAGAGUUUCAACAGAGAAGAAAGACAUUCUAAUUAGACCAUGGGAAGAAAGCGAGAAAUCAAAGAACAGCAAGAAAGCAGACUUACAAGCUGAAUCGAAGAAGAUUGAGAUAACAUUUACAUCAUAUCAUCGAUAAUCGAUAAUGAAAUAUGUUGAAAUAAAAUCAUGUAAUUGAAAAAUAAUUGUUAAGUACACCCCUUUUGGCAAGAUCAAAAUUUAGUUGAGCUGGAAAAAAUUUACACCUUUUUUGGUAAGAUCAAAAUAAGAAUCAUCAAAGGGUAAGUGUAAAAUUAUUUAUAUACCUUUAUUCCAUAUAUUAUUUUCUUAAAAUAAGCAUAAUUUGCCAAAGAAAACACCAUAAAAAUAUUAAUCUUCAAGCAACAGGAGCACAUUCAACCAUUAAAUUAAGGGCAUUUUUGUCCUUUGUUGCAUUCGCAGAAAAGAUCAACAGGGAAGAGGUAUUUAUAAUGCCACCAGUUAUGUUAAAUCUUAAUACUUUCUUUAUAUGGUGUUGGCCACAUGCUAUUGUUCUAUACAAUUUCUUGAUUACUGAUUUGGUUGCUUUGAUAAAUUGUUAGAAAGGUGGUGGAGAUUACUCGGUUUGAUUCAUAAUAUUCAUAUUAUUUUUGAUUUGCUUAUUUCUAAGUUAGAGACUUGGCUUUAAAUGUUAUAUGUGUAACUUCUUAUUUCAAGAUCUAUUGGAAUAUUCUUACAUUUUAACAAAGAUUUUUGGCUGUGGAAACUGUUUUGCAGACCUUCAAAUGUUAAAUUCAACCAAAGCUACAUCGAUUGCAUCAUUAAAGGUUAAGGAAGCAGGGUUUUUUUUUUUUUUUUUUUCAUUUUCACUUUAUUUUUCGUACUUUUUUCUAUGUCAUAUGGAUCGAUUAUGCUUCACUCGCUUAUUAUUUGUGUGCAAAAGCGUGGAAAUCUACUUCAUUGGGAUCGAUUUUGUUUGUUUUUCUACAAUUACGAUAAUAUCUGCCUUCAUGGUCGAUCAUCCCAAGGUAUUCCGAUCGUUUUUUCCUUGACUUUUUUUUGAUAGAGAUGAGUAGGGACUGUUUUUUCCAUUUAUGGCAAUGCACUUUCAUUUGUGUCUAUUUUAUAAUUUGUAGCAAAUCUCAUUAAAUUAAUAAAAAUGACCAUGUAUGGGCUUUUUAGCCAUUUAUAUCAAUGUACUUUUAUUAUAUUUACAAAGAUUCAUUAAAAUGUCCAUUAAUGGGGGAUUUUAUAUUUAUACCAACGUAUUUUCAAAUUAAUUAUUUAAUUGGUCUUUAACUUAUCUUUUUAAAUAAAUGGUAGAGCAAAUUGCAUAUUUUGUGUUUGCAUUAGACACCACCAAAUUUAUUUAGCUUAAUAAAUUAUGAAUAAUUUAUUAAGCUAAAUAAAUUUGGUUGUCUCUAAAUUUAGUUAUAUUUUUUUGUCCCGAUUCCAUGAAUUUAUGAUAUUAAGGUUAUAUCAAUUUCUGAUGUUUUUAAAUGAUGCACCAAACUAAUAAAAUAAUUUAUAAUUGUAACUAUGGUUGUAUAAAUGGGCGAAUUACACAUACGUACUUUCUUAUAAAUUUAAGGUUUAUGGAUAUGUUGGAAAUGACUAUGACCACGCCGUAUACAGGACAUCCAAUUCCCGACUUUCCCCGAACCAUAGCGAAGCAAGGGCAUUCCCCCUAGUUUAAAAUUAAAUUAAAGAUUGGUCAUUUUUAAUGUUUUUAUUUUUGUGUUUAAUUAUAGUUUACUAGUAUUUAAAAAAAUAAAUUCUUAAUACUCUUUAACCUGUUGCAAAAAGUAAGUUAUAUAUCAUCAAGAUUUCAUUUCACAUAAAUUAGUUAUCACAAUACAAAUAGUUUAGUGAGAAAAAAAACGGAAACAAGAUCCCGCAGCUAAACUUUUUUGUAUGAUAAAAUCAAAUUUUUUGAAGACUACAUCUAUAGAUCUAGGGGAUAUAACAUUGUUAUGUAUAAUCCGUUGUAUUAUAUUAAGAAGUUUCAUCGUGUCCGGUGCAAGGAAACAAUGACAAAUCUAUAACAAAAAACAACGUGGUUCCUUAUUUAAAUGAAAAUGAAAAAAAUAUGAAAAUAUAGGUCUUUUAGCAAAAAUAAGCUAGGUCCUAACUUUUUUCUAUAUAUAUUUGUUGUAUUGAAAAAAAAGGUAGGUCAUAGGACCUACCUUGUGAAUGCUUAGCUACGCCCCUACGAAGAAACCAAACAUAUCAAACGCAAAUGGUAUAAACACGUGUUGGUUUUCCAAGCGCGAUUUCUCAUGUUUUGUGACUUUGCAUGUGAUAGCUUUUAAAGCAGCAUGUACCGCAUUAAAACUCCCAACCCUCAAGCCCACGAGAGGGGAUACUUAUGUAAGAUCCACACAAGUGUGUUCCCUCUAACUCAUCUAAAAACCAAAACAUCAUUCGGUGUAAGAAUUGACCUUCCUUUUGUCAGGUCAGUUAAUUUAUUACAAAAAAUAAUAAUUAGAUAAACUCAUAUAUGUUUUAAAUAAUAAUACAAUAUGCAAAUGGACCCUUACUUUUUCUUCGUACCCAAUACAAUUUCCAUAAAUCAUAGGUGGUGGUUGAACCCUCUAUCACAGAUUUGUCAGCGAACAACAUUUCUUUGAACCAACUGAGGACCCCCAUAAUCCUCUUUAUCAUUAGACGGUUGUACGUUUGCAUCCUUCGUAAUGGUGAUUUUGAAACUCUCAAGGGGGAUUAUAUCAUUGAGUUUGGUAUCAUAAUAGUUGAUACCCAUUAGACAUUUGUUGAUACGGGUUCCCAUAGAUUUAAACCACGAUGCAUCUGCUGAAAAAUAGCCACCUUCCCAUUAACUAUUUUAUAUAGUUGAUGUGAGAGUCUGGAAAUCUAAAACUCCCAAAAACCAGUGGGCCUGCGAUAUAUUGAUAGGGAUGUAAACUUGCAAAACAAAUGUUAGAAUUAACUAAUUAUCAAAUAACAUUUUCUUAUAAGUGAUUAUUACUUAGAUAAUGUAAUUGAAAUACAAGUAUAUUGUAUCACACUCAAACCAGGUCAGGUAAAUGGAUCCAUCAACUAUGUUACACCACUCCUCUAUAUUUGUGUUGAAAGUCGUCGAUACAAAUAUCCACCAAACAUCAUCUCAUCCUUAUCAUCAACGAAAUCCAGAUCAUAUGAUGUGUUGUCAAUCAACACAUGUAAAAUAAAGUAAGUACCUAAUUGAUUGAUUAGUGUGUAAUGAUCACAUGUGUAUGUAACUUACAUCACAUUCCAACCGGCCCGAGUCAAUGUCCCUAUAAAUAUGCAUCUAAAACUCCAUCGUUGUUAUAUAAGUGAGAAACUGGUGAACAAACAGUAGUGAAGCAUCCCUUUUUUCAUAUAGAGUGUGAAUGCUAUCAGCUAUACAAUUGUCCCACGUUGGUGGGUGUUGGCGUGCAACGUCUUUCUUUUUCAUAUGUAUCCAUGGGGACCUCAACCAUAUAGAUGUAUGUGUUGCUGGAUGGGUACGACUAAGAGCCAGCAGUAGCAUUUUGUAAUUUGCCUAGGAAAUCUCUUUUAUCUCCAACGAGUAUACAAAUGAAGGCGUAAGUAUAUUGUCUAUCUAUAUAGUAGACUUCUGCUCCACUCCGUCAAACUGCAAAAAGAAAAUAUUAUAUUUAGUUAAGUUUUUAAUAAUACACGAACGUGUAAAAAAUACAUAUGUAAUUGUUGACGAACCUCAUAGUCAUGAGUCUAAAAGUCAUCAUCUUAUAAAGUAUCACGAUCCUAUAUGCUAAAUGGUUGUACAGGGGUAACCUUGUUACCCUAAAAUCAUUUAAUAGUUUCAUGUAAUUAAAUUAUCAACAAUGCAAUAAGAAUGUACCAUAAAGUUAAAUAAGAAUGUAAGGGAGUUAAAUAAGAAUGUACCUCCAACCUAUGUGAGAUACCAACAGUCUUUGUGACAACCUUAUUAUUAGGAUGUACCACAACUUUGAGUUGUAAAAUAUGUAUACCAUGUGCUAUCAACUCCCUCUGAAAUUCUUAAAGCUCCUUUGUAAGUCCAUUAUAUUAUUUUGUCCUUAUAUAAGGUACACUUUGUGGUGGUGGUGGUGGGGGGUUGGAUGCAUAUAAACAUAUUCUAUCAUCUCAUCGUGCCUAUUUUUGUGGAGGCUCAUAAUUAGAUGACUUUGCGAUGUGAUGACGUGAGAGGCGGUGCCCUAUGAACAUAUGAAGUAAGUAAAGUAUCGUAUUCAAUCCAUACGAAGCUAAAAGACCACUAGACCGCAAGACUCUCAUCUUUUUUCGACUGCAACUUCUCUAUAAGUUUAUUCCCCCCUAACAUAAUUAUAGAUCAAUUGUUAACUUCAUUAUACAUAGGGGUGAAAAUGAAAAUUUUAUAAAUAUAAGCAUACCUUUUGAACGUCAAUGAAGUUUUCAUAUUGAUGCUUCUUUAAAAUCCUAAUCUUGAACCAUCCAACAACCAAAUGGAUUACAUUCGUUUGUCGGGUAGCAAACAAAUAGCUGAAUGAAAAACUCCAGAAAAUCCAUAUCUUAAAUAAUCAUGUAUUAAACAUAUUAGCAAACAUAAAACAUUAAAUUGAUAAAUAAUAAUCAUGUAUUUUACCUUAAAAAUAUUUUUAAAUAUGUCAGUUUUUUAGGUUUUGUUUUGUUUUUCUUUUUUUUUUUGUUUUGUUUUUUUUUUGACGGGAUGAAUAAGCUUAUUGAAUAUCGUCUCUAGCAUAUUAGCAAACAUAAAACAUUAAAUCAAUAAUCAUGUAUUUGACAUUAAAAACAUAUAAAAAUCCGCUAGGUUGUAUGUCAAUUUUUGAGGUUGUGUUUCUUUUUCUUUGAUGGAAUGAAUAAGCUUAUAAAGCUCAUCUCUAGCUGAAAUUACAAUUGAUACCAAAUUAUUUUCCUCCACAGAUAUCCGCGACACCAAAAAAAUGCACAAUUAAUUCUGUAAAUAACAUUACUAAUAAUAUUUAUAAUUUAACGACAUGAUACAGGUUGAAAUCAUCAAAGUUGGACACCAAAUUGAAAUACUCAUCCUUCACGUUUUGACGAGGUAACCGGCCGUUAAACCCCUUCUUCAACAAAUAUAUUAUACAUACUCGGACCGCAUCCUCCUUCAAUAACUCAUUACUGAUGUUUCAAAGACAUUAAUAAAAUCUUUCAAUUUUACAGAAUCAAUCGUCUGACCGUGGGAAAGACACAUAAUUAGAAGGCGUGACCGGAAUCCAAAGAUACAAAAUAUUCACCAAACUGUGAGCAUAGGAAAUGGUUUUAAUGAUAUUCAACAAUAAAAACCACAAGCCACUUACAGGUUGUUUUUCUUUGAUUAAUAAGCUUUAUGGAUUCAACACUUAUUGACCUAAUGUUUCUUUUUAACGUAAAAUGCACAAGAUUGCUUUAAUACAUCAAGCAAAUAAAACCUGUCAUAUAUUAAGAGUUAAGACACCACCCAACUUGUAAUGUAUACAUCACUUUAUUCAGUCAUUCGGCUACUUUACAUUUACACAUACAUACGUGACUUGAUGGAGAAAAAGACUAUUUAUAUCUCAUAGGCAGGGAACCUAGCCAUGGAUGGAUCUACCAUGUCUAGAAAAAGAUAAGCUGUACCUCCAAUGCCUUCAAAUAGUGAAAAGGGUCGAUCACCUCCAUGCAUUGACCCUUGAGUUAUAAGGGUUUGACUUUUAUGAUAGAGGAAGGUGGCAAAAGCUUUGGCUCUGUAUAAGAACUUGAUGUCACCUGUUAAGCGAUAAAGGGAAAGAAAAACGUACGCAUUGCCACUGAUUCCAUGACAGAUUCCAACUUUUUUAAGUAAACCGCGUUUCCAUACCACCUCUCCCGCAUCAAUUGCUGCCUUUAAAAACUCAUCACUUCCAAAAACCUAUUAAGAUUUUAACAAACUUGAGUGUUUUAGAAGAUUUUUUAAGUUUAAGUUUAUCAAAUAUCAAUGGUUGAAUACAUACUGUGGCUGCUUUGGUGAGUGUAAGAACCAUCCCAGGAGCACCAUGGCACCAAUGAAUUAAGUGGUCUGAAUUACUACUUUCACUUGAUCGAUAGUUUCCACUAGAAAAACGGUUGUUAAUCAUGUAAAUAAGUGUACCCUUAACAUCUUUCAAUUCAUCUUCAGUCAACUCCAUGUCCAUUAAGACAUUCAUUAUCCCUGCUAACCCAUGAGCAGCUCCCCAAUACCUUUUUCCAUACCACUCAUACAUUAAUGGACAUUCACUAGUAGACAUAUUUCUACCAGCCUUGAUAAUUUCAUCUUUGAUUUCUCUCUGCAAACAUAAUAAAAAUCAAUUCUUUUUGCAAAAAGAAUGUAAAGAUGACAGACAAUCACAAAGCUUUACCAUGUGGGUGGAGGAUAUAAUGUUUUCACCAAGAUUCUUGUUAAUGAACAAACAUGCCCAUAAGUAACCUGCUCUACCAUAUAAUAGUUCAUUUGGAAGAUCUUUAGGAAGCUUAAUCUGUAAUGAAAAAUAAAAUCAAAAUCCAAUUGGCCCCAUGAACACAAUAAGAGCACACGUCAUGUUUAAUUACAUCAUCAAAUGAAUAACUACUACCUCUUUAAAUCUUGUCAAAUAGUGAUUAAACAAGUGAUCAUCGUUGCUUUGUUUGGCCACGACGACACCAAGAGCAGAUACACCGGCCUGACCACAGAUGAAUGUCACACGGCUGCGAUCGCAAUAAACUAUUAAUAACAAUCGUCUUGCUCAAAAACAGAUAUGGAAACAGAGAAUAAUGUAAACCUAGAGCCAACAGAGGCGGAAUCGCAAGCUUUAAGAAUGUCUUUACAUAAAUCAAGAUCUUUUUUGGUGUGGGUAACUUUGUAAGCUUUGAAAACCAUGAAAGCUGUGCCUAAGGCACCUGUGUACAGUGUGUAAUCCUUUAAACGUUUCCCGGUGUUUCCCCAAGUUUCCAACACAAUCUAUAAUUGGGAACAUGUGUAAAUCAAAAAUCAACACAAGGAAGAAAGGGAGAAAACAGAAAUUAAGGGAAUAAAGAAGUAGAAAAUACAGUGUCUUUGAGGUCGAAGGCUGCUCGUUUGAGUUGAUCGGAGAAUAGGUUGUAGGGAAGAGAUAGAGUCUUUGUCAGGGGAUUUGUGGUGGUUUCAGGUGGCGGUGGUUCUUCUUCUUUGAUGAAUUCCGGCAUUUCAUUUGGAUAGAAACGAUCAGCCAUUUUGGGUUGUGUUCGUUUGGACUUUGGAAGAUGUGAUCAGAUUCUUGGAGGCUAAGGUAGAACCGUAGAAGCCAGAAGGUUUAGGGAAAAUGCUUUCGAGCUAAAUUGCUUAUUGAUUUAUGUUCUAAAU